CAAUUCUACUUCAACUGAAAAAUAAAGACAGAGCAGCUGGAGCUGGCCACGAUCAGCGUACAGAGACAGGCUGGCCCGCUGGACUGGAAGGCCCUGCCCAGAGCUUCCUGGUCUCAGUCUUCUCAUCUAUAAACCUGAGUGGAGCCUUCCAUGCCUCCUGCAGAGCUGACGGUGGAGCUGAUGCCAUCCCAGCCACCCUCUGCUUGGCUGUGCUUUCUUGCACCCAAAUCCUGAAUAACCAGAGGCAUUGGUUAAUCAAGGCUUGAGCUAGGAUGCUCACCCAUCAUUGGGAAGGUAACAUUUUCCUGGGGCUGUCAGUUAGAUUUUACAUAAGAGCCCCCAGGAGGAGUCGGCCCAGGUCUGGAUCCCACCUCUACCGCUCAUGAUUACCCUGUCCCCUCUCAGAGCCCAUCUCCUUCAUCUGUGAGCUGGGUGUGUGGGUGCAUCCUGCAGGGCUGCUGGGGAGAGUACACACUGCACGGGAAACAUCUCCCGCCGUGCUUCCUGGGUCCCUCCCGCUAUUGCUCAUCAUUAUAACCAUAGCGGGAUGCUGGUCCGGCAGGGGGCCCAGGACACGUUCCUCCCAGUGGUGGUGGUAAAAUCCACCUGUCACCAGCUCCUGCCUGCCUUGCGUUGGCGUCUGUUUCUCCAGGAUGGUGUUUAGUCCAAAGUUGCUGCAUCACAGCGUCAGCAUCUAGGUUUCACUCUGGGUCAUCUGGCACUGACCCACAGGGGCCAGCUUGGACAUCCCACAGGUGCUCAGGGAUUCCUGCCCCCCGCCAGGGACGUGAAAAUCUCCUAAUUACGCCAGAAACUCCUUUAAAGAGUCUGUAAUCGUUCCUACAGAAGCAUUCAUCCAGUGCAAACCAUUCUACCAUGACUGGAAAUCAAAAGUCCAAACAUACACAAGAUCAUAACCUGCCAAAGAAAAUUUGCAGUAGACGAAAUUCACAUGCAAGGUUCCCCAAACUCGCUAUUAGCUACAUUAAGUCCUCCAAGAACUAAUGCAGCCUGCGACAACUGUGUGUCCCACUGGUGAUGCCUGAAGUCUCAGAGGCAAGAACGGGUGUCAGGGGCAAAGUGAUAUCAGAAACCAGCUACAGCUAAGGGAGUGAGAUCAGGUCCCGCUUUCUUUUGGAGAUGGGAGGUUUUCUUAUAUGUUCCUGUGUCAGGCUUUUGACUUCCCACAUGAAGUUGGCAAAUUGAAAUUCACAACUACAAGAGCAAUCUUUUGAUGUUCCAACUACCCGGUCUUUGUUGCAAAAACUCGUAUAUCCU
This is a non-coding RNA of Vicugna pacos (alpaca), 1278 nucleotides long. The record is from RefSeq and is a predicted model, not a curated record. NCBI's taxonomy places the organism in Eukaryota, Metazoa, Chordata, Mammalia, Artiodactyla, Camelidae.